UUCAGCCGGUGUUUUCAUUUCUCAUUCUCUCUCUCUCCAGGCGAAAAACAGAAACAGAUAUGACUGAAAUACACAAAAACAGAUGAAAGCUUCAAAAUCAACCUCUGAAUCGAUCCAAAAUCAGUAGAUUAAUACUAUUACAUGAUCUAGGAGAUCAAAUCUGACCAAAACACCAAGAGAAAAAAGAAGAGAAAAUUAUGUUUCAGUAAUUGGAUCUUCAACAACAACGUUUUGGAAAGACAAAUCGAAGGCAAUCAAAAACAACAAACUCAGCAGCUUUUGUUGGUGUUAAAGAAAUCAGUAAAGUAAGAUGGCAUGUUCUGGACCGAAAAUAAUGAAUUUCACUUGCAGAAAAAGUGGAUGGUGAGUACAAGAAAUUACUGAUCCCCAUGUGCAUAUAUAAUGGAAUUCACCCAUUUCGUUGGUUGUCGCUUGCACUAGAAGAUGGCGUAUGGAUGAUCUACAACGAAAAAAUCCAAUUUACAACGUGCAGAUCAAUCUAAAUUUGUCUUUUCCUGAACAACGUAAAAUUUGUCGAAUGGAAGUUAGAGCAAAUGAAAUGGUUGAGAAAGUAAACAAGAGAAGGGUUAGGAUGCCGUUUCCGUUUCCUAUCUUGAAUGCAAUUGAUGAAUGAAAGCUUCAAAAAAAGAAAAAAGAUGCUAGCUUGAACGUCUGAUUGAGCAAGUGUGUCUACUGCUAACAAAAACACUUUUAUUAGUGUUGGUUAUAAUACUCUUUGCAUAAAUGUGAUACUGUUAUAAAAAACUAUUGAUUAUAUGAACGAUUGAAUUGUUUGAUUGGACAUAA
This is a long non-coding RNA of Papaver somniferum (opium poppy), 807 nucleotides long. RefSeq lists it as uncharacterized. The transcript has 3 exons. The record is from RefSeq and is a predicted model, not a curated record. Lineage: Eukaryota; Viridiplantae; Streptophyta; Magnoliopsida; Ranunculales; Papaveraceae.